AUAAUUAAAUAGUUAAUCGCUCGUAUAUCCUUGGUAAUAUGGUCCAAAAGUAUCUACCGGGUCACCGAAAAUGAUCUGACUACGUGCUUCAAGAAAUAAUAG
This 102-nucleotide non-coding RNA is filed under the name Gottschalkia purinilytica. Its description in RNAcentral is "Clostridium purinilyticum Guanine sequence". It matches the Rfam family "Purine riboswitch aptamer". Rfam says of the family: Riboswitches are metabolite binding domains within certain messenger RNAs that serve as precision sensors for their corresponding targets. Allosteric rearrangement of mRNA structure is mediated by ligand binding, and this results in modulation of gene expression. The record is from Rfam by way of RNAcentral. Lineage: Bacteria; Bacillati; Bacillota; Tissierellia; Tissierellales; Gottschalkiaceae.